GAUGAACGCUGGCGGCGUGCCUAAUACAUGCAAGUCGAGCGAACGGACGAGAAGCUUGCUUCUCUGAUGUUAGCGGCGGACGGGUGAGUAACACGUGGACAACCUACCUAUAAGACUGGGAUAACUUCGGGAAACCGGAGCUAAUACCGGAUAAUAUUUUGAACCGCAUGGUUCAAAAGUGGAAGACGGUCUUGCUGUCACUUAUAGAUGGAUCCGCGCUGCAUUAGCUAGUUGGUAAGGUAACGGCUUACCAAGGCAACGAUGCAUAGCCGACCUGAGAGGGUGAUCGGCCACACUGGAACUGAGACACGGUCCAGACUCCUACGGGAGGCAGCAGUAGGGAAUCUUCCGCAAUGGGCGAAAGCCUGACGGAGCAACGCCGCGUGAGUGAUGAAGGUCUUCGGAUCGUAAAACUCUGUUAUUAGGGAAGAACAUAUGUGUAAGUAACUGUGCACAUCUUGACGGUACCUAAUCAGAAAGCCACGGCUAACUACGUG
This 497-nucleotide ribosomal RNA is filed under the name uncultured bacterium. Its description in RNAcentral is "partial 16S ribosomal RNA". It matches the Rfam family "Bacterial small subunit ribosomal RNA", at positions 28 to 507 of the family's 1533-position model. The record is from RNAcentral.